Molecule: ribosomal RNA, 1287 nt
Filed under: metagenome
Description: bacterial SSU rRNA
Rfam family: Bacterial small subunit ribosomal RNA
Source: RNAcentral
UAGCUAGUUGGUGAGGUAAAGGCUUACCAAGGCGACGAUCUGUAGCGGGUCUGAGAGGAUGAUCCGCCACACUGGAACUGAGACACGGUCCAGACUCCUACGGGAGGCAGCAGUGGGGAAUUUUGGACAAUGGGGGCAACCCUGAUCCAGCCAUGCCGCGUGAGUGAAGAAGGCCUUCGGGUUGUAAAGCUCUUUCGGCCGGGAAGAAAUCGCAUGGGCCAAUACCCUGUGUGGAUGACGGUACCGGAAUAAGAAGCACCGGCUAACUACGUGCCAGCAGCCGCGGUAAUACGUAGGGUGCGAGCGUUAAUCGGAAUUACUGGGCGUAAAGCGUGCGCAGGCGGUUUUGUAAGACAGGCGUGAAAUCCCCGGGCUUAACCUGGGAACUGCGUUUGUGACUGCAAGGCUAGAGUACGGCAGAGGGGGGUGGAAUUCCACGUGUAGCAGUGAAAUGCGUAGAGAUGUGAAGGAACACCAAUGGCGAAGGCAGCCCCCUGGGUCGAUACUGACGCUCAUGCACGAAAGCGUGGGUAGCAAACAGGAUUAGAUACCCUGGUAGUCCACGCCCUAAACUAUGUCAACUAGGUGUUGGGUGGGUAAAACCAUUUAGUACCGUAGCUAACGCGUGAAGUUGACCGCCUGGGGAGUACGGCCGCAAGGUUAAAACUCAAAGGAAUUGACGGGGACCCGCACAAGCGGUGGAUGAUGUGGAUUAAUUCGAUGCAACGCGAAAAACCUUACCUACCCUUGACAUGCCAGGAACUUGCCAGAGAUGGCUUGGUGCCCGAAAGGGAGCCUGGACACAGGUGCUGCAUGGCUGUCGUCAGCUCGUGUCGUGAGAUGUUGGGUUAAGUCCCGCAACGAGCGCAACCCUUGUCGUUAAUUGCCAUCAUUUAGUUGGGCACUUUAACGAGACUGCCGGUGACAAACCGGAGGAAGGUGGGGAUGACGUCAAGUCCUCAUGGCCCUUAUGGGUAGGGCUUCACACGUCAUACAAUGGUCGGUACAAAGGGUUGCCAAGCCGCGAGGCGGAGCCAAUCCCAGAAAGCCGAUCGUAGUCCGGAUUGCAGGCUGCAACUCGCCUGCAUGAAGUCGGAAUCGCUAGUAAUCGUGGAUCAGCAUGUCACGGUGAAUACGUUCCCGGGUCUUGUACACACCGCCCGUCACACCAUGGGAGCGGGUUCCGCCAGAAGUAGGUAGCCUAACCGCAAGGGGGGCGCUUACCACGGCGGGGUUCGUGACUGGGGUGAAGUCGCAACAAGGUAGCCGUAGGGGAACCUGCGGCUG